This 888-nucleotide ribosomal RNA is filed under the name uncultured bacterium. Its description in RNAcentral is "bacterial SSU rRNA". It matches the Rfam family "Bacterial small subunit ribosomal RNA", at positions 56 to 955 of the family's 1533-position model. The record is from RNAcentral.
UGCAAGUCGAACGGAGUCAAGAGAAGCUUGCUUUUCUUGACUUAGUGGCGAACGGGUGAGUAACGCGUGAGUAACCUGCCCUGGAGUGGGGGACAACAGUUGGAAACGACUGCUAAUACCGCAUAAGCCCACGGCCCGGCAUCGGGCUGAGGGAAAAGGAUUUAUUCGCUUCAGGAUGGACUCGCGUCCAAUUAGCUAGUUGGUGAGGUAACGGCCCACCAAGGCGACGAUUGGUAGCCGGACUGAGAGGUUGAACGGCCACAUUGGGACUGAGACACGGCCCAGACUCCUACGGGAGGCAGCAGUGGGGGAUAUUGCACAAUGGGGGAAACCCUGAUGCAGCGACGCCGCGUGGAGGAAGAAGGUUUUCGGAUUGUAAACCCCUGUCGUUAGGGACGAUAAUGACGGUACCUAACAAGAAAGCACCGGCUAACUACGUGCCAGCAGCCGCGGUAAAACGUAGGGUGCAAGCGUUGUCCGGAAUUACUGGGUGUAAAGGGAGCGCAGGCGGACCGGCAAGUUGGAAGUGAAAACUAUGGGCUCAACCCAUAAAUUGCUUUCAAAACUGCUGGCCUUGAGUAGUGCAGAGGUAGGUGGAAUUCCCGGUGUAGCGGUGGAAUGCGUAGAUAUCGGGAGGAACACCAGUGGCGAAGGCGACCUACUGGGCACCAACUGACGCUGAGGCUCGAAAGCAUGGGUAGCAAACAGGAUUAGAUACCCUGGUAGUCCAUGCCGUAAACGAUGAUUACUAGGUGUUGGAGGAUUGACCCCUUCAGUGCCGCAGUUAACACAAUAAGUAAUCCACCUGGGGAGUACGACCGCAAGGUUGAAACUCAAAGGAAUUGACGGGGGCCCGCACAAGCAGUGGAGUAUGUGGUUUAAUUCGAA